AGGGCCCGGAUGUUACCCCGGAAGAGCUGGAGGGUGACGCGGUCUGGCCUCCCUGUUGGGAAGAGCCAGUGCGGUGUGUGGAAGAGCCUGAGACAGAAGCCUGAGAAGACUCUUACCAGAAUGGAGGAGAGGAAGGAAGGCGUUCUAGACCAGGGUGCGGACAAGAGGCCUUUGGGUUGCAAUCUGAAGGUGGACCAGGCAGUGGAUUGUGAAGGCGAUUGGGCUGACCCACGUGCGGAGCCCUCAGUGCAAAGUCCUCUCUGCUCCCCAAGCCUGCAAUCCCAGCCGCAGCCCCGGGGCCUGGAAACUCCGGCCGAUUUAUUAAAGCGUCCUCCCUGUCUGCCACCAUCAGGCUAGAAUUGUUCCGAACAAAAGAAGCAUGAAUUGCUGGAAACUAUAUAUUAAAUGCAAGACUAUUUGUCUAGUUUUCAUUGGGUGCUGAGUGAAGAGCCUCAACUCCUCGUAUUCCCAUGGUACUCAGAUGUCCGCGG
RNAcentral lists this long non-coding RNA (491 nucleotides) under Heterocephalus glaber (naked mole-rat). RNAcentral describes it as "lncRNA (ENSHGLG00100049827.1)". The record is from RNAcentral. Lineage: Eukaryota; Metazoa; Chordata; Mammalia; Rodentia; Bathyergidae.